UACGUAGGGUGCUAGCGUUGUCCGGAAUUACUGGGCGUAAAGAGUGUGUAGGCGGUGCUCUAAGUUCGGUGUGAAAUCUCCCGGCUUAACUGGGAGGGUGCGCCGGAAACUGGAGUGCUCGAGCGUGGGAGAGGAAAGCGGAAUUCCUGGUGUAGCGGUGAAAUGCGUAGAUAUCAGGAGGAACACCUGCGGUGUAGACGGCUUUCUGGACCAUAACUGACGCUGAGGCACGAAAGCGUGGGUAGCAAACAGG
RNAcentral lists this ribosomal RNA (253 nucleotides) under uncultured bacterium. RNAcentral's name for it is "partial 16S ribosomal RNA". It matches the Rfam family "Bacterial small subunit ribosomal RNA", at positions 524 to 776 of the family's 1533-position model. The record is from RNAcentral.